UAAAUUGCUUGCGCCCUCCUCCACGCGUUCACCCCAUCCUCCCUAGGAAGCUAGAACCACUCACCCCGUGAUACUCGCACUAGAGGCGGGUCACCCUCUCCGACGUUGCGUGCCCACAACGACACUCGGGUCACGGUGGGGGUUGCAGAAUCUUUGUCAGGCCGCGUGGAUCGCGCCAGGGUCCUCGCCGGGCCGAGCUUGUAGUUGCUGCGCCCCAAAUUUACUCACAGGAAGCGGGAUUCGUUGUGGAGUCGCCCUGUGCCGCGGACUAGUGCCCUGGCGUCGCCCUAGCCCUGGUAUGCCCAACUCAUGCCUUAUCCCUCGAAUUCAUACCGAGUAGCACCGAUCCAUGUAGGAAGAGCGUCUCUGAUAGGUCGAGAAUUGCUCGUCGGCGUUGCGCGUGGUAGUGGACCUGCGCCUUCCCGUGGGUACGGCGUGGUGUCGUGUUCUUCCCGAUUAGCAGACUACGACCCGACUCAUGGUGUACCAGCAGGAGUGUAGCGCCCUUGUGGUGUGUGCUUAGGCGUCGGGGGUGCGAGAAUGGUGGUGCAUGAAUGGCGCCGCCGUGCGGAUGAACAGGGGUGCCGCUGCGCCGGUGUUUGGAUUGGGGAAGAAAGGCUCCGAUCCGUUGGAUCGAUCACCAGCGGGCAGGAUUAGAGCAACGAAUAGCGUUUCAGUCCAUUUAAUCUGGGGCGUUCCGAGCUGAUUGGAUGGAUAGGAUUAAGUCAAACGCGCGAACGUCUCUUGUGUCGUGUAUCUCUGAUCCAAGGGCUCAUACUGCAUACCGGUUCAGUAAGGGGCUAGAUCUAAUCCCGUGCGUCCAUCUAAGAUCGGAUGGCCUAGAUUGGUCAAUACCCCUUCGUGAUUGUAACUUUACGAAUGAAACCCCGCAAAAGAGAGAAUUCAACCCACAGUCCACUCCGGGAGUACAAUCAGUCUAGGAUAUUUUUCACGUUAGCCCCUGCGUGUCUGUUUAAUUGAAGCGCAGUCCAGUGAAUAAGAAAAACAGAGAAAUUGAAUUAGAAAAUGAAUUUUUAAUAUAAAAACGAUUCCUAGAACUUGUUUAAUUCAUAUUGAGUCCAAAUUAAUCCAUUCCAGUUUCUAUAAUUUUGUAAUAUUAUUGUUUAUCAUCUAGUGUAUCUGUUUUGAUAUGAAAGCCACAUUAAAGUUUAUAUCCUAAUUAAUCUUGUAUCAAGCACAUAAAAACUUUGGAAAUUCAUAACAUAAAAUCUAUAACUCUAAAAUUAAUGAUUCUUUUUUCUAUGAUCUUAUUUUAAUAUGUAGAUUAUUAAUAUGUAUGCUGUAUACAUGCUUGGUGUGAUGUUAAUUUUGUCUAUACCAUGUUUGUUUGUAUUGCUACGACUAGCAGUGAGGUCACGAGAAUUUGAGGAUCAUCCUGAUACAUGGAAUCUCAAGUCCCAGACAAGUUGUGCCCUUGAUUACUUUUAUUACCCAAUAGUGUUAUUUAAUAUCACUUAUUCAUGUAUAGGUUUAAUUUUGAUGGGACCCAAUAGGCCACCCUAGUCUGAUUAUCUUUUACCUUGUUUACCCCUGAAUCAUUUGGGUAGUUUUGCUAUUGCUUUAUAUGGUUUUGGGUUAAUAUUUCAUUAUAUCCAUGUUCCAAUUAUUCUAUUAUUUUAUUUAUAUUCAUGUCAAGAUCAUUAUAUUAUGUUAAUUGGAACAUGGAGCUUAACUUGAAAAACAUGUGUCACCAUAAGGGUAGAAUGGGAUGCCCUUGGCUGACUAAUUAGGAAAGCUAGUGGGACUACCUUACCCGAAAGGGGCAAGGGCAGUAGGGGAGUUGCAUGUAGGGAGGUUCUCGGGUUGAUUUUGCUGCGAUGGCAGUCAGACGAGGGAUUCUUGCAAGUGCUCUUCCCAUAGACUGUAGCGGGUUUUCGGAAGCUAGUGGAACUUUGUAAAAGCCUCGUAGUGUUAUCCUGUCUCGCUUCCUUAGUAGAGGUGUAUGGGAUUCAUGACCCCUUGGCAAAUGGAUAACACGACUUGUGCGUACAGGGUACAACCUCUACAGAGUGUAAAACUGGUAUACUAGUCGAGCUCACGGUCAAGAGCAGCUCAAGAUUCUCGCAUGAUUAAAUUAUGAAACUAAAUUCAAUUUAUCAUUUGCAUCGCAUGUGAUUUGUUAUUAAUUUUGUUCUAUUAUUAUUAUUAUUAUGGUUUGGUAUUUACUUACAUCUAGUAAUUGCUAAUAAAAUAUUGACCAACUUUAAAAGCAAUGCUCAGCUUUAACCAUUCUGUUUGGUAAGCCUUACACUUCACAUGAGCUCCCACCUUUGGUGAGUUCAUGCACAUUAUUCCCCACAACUUGUUGAGCGAUGAAUAUGUGUGAGCUCACCCUUGUCUCACACCCCCCAUAGGAGAAGUACAGGUCAUUCAAGAGAAGCCACACAACGAGGAGUUUGACUUGAUCUACGUGGCGUCUCCUAGUUGACUUUAUGGCGCCAAGGAUGGACUUUAGUUCGUUUUAUAUUUAUCUUUUAUUUUGUAAGAGUUCCACUAUAUAAUAAGUACUCUGAUUAUAUUGUGACAUUAUUCUCUAUACACGCUGUUAUUAUAUGUGUUGUCUUAUUUGACGCAUAUAUGAGAUGCACCCGACUUUGUCCCUUAAAUCCGGGUGUGACAAUAAAUGUAUUUUCACCCAGGCUGCGUCCCGUACCUAUAAAUAGGUGAACAGUACCACCGUACUUGUAACACCCCAGAUGUUUAUAUUCCGCUCGACAACGAGUACAGAUUUAAGCACGUAAUAUCAGUGGAUAAAUCGGAUGCGAAAUUUUAAUCAUCUUCGCCUAUUGCGAUUUUAAUAUCGCAUCUAUUUCGUCUGUCUCGAGUUCGACAUCAUUUUUAUCUAUCCGGGCUCUUCCGAAAUUUUCGUGAUGUUCGGAACCUAGUUGUUCCGGAAAUCGGUGCGUCCGGUGAGUAUUUAAAAUUCAUCGCUCGUAUGGAUACGAGUUCAGAAGCCCGACUCACUCAGAUGAUUUUAUCCCGGAUAAAUUAAUUUGUACUCGACAACUAAAUGGUGGGGGCAAAAUAAUUUGUAUCGCGCGUUGUCCGAGAAAAAUCAUGCGCGAAGUUAUUAUCCAAUUUAUUCUUCAGCACGCUGUUUUGACGACGAAAUCACGUAUACAUUAGCGGAUCUGGUUUCGACUAAUUUCGGUCGAACCACGAAGAACAAGUUAUCAGUACCGAAAUCAGUUUAUUUCGGUCUGUCCAAAACUUUUGAUAUAAAUGACGGGUACAAAUUAAUCUGAUUCCACAUAUUCGCUAAAUCAAAAUCGUGACAGCGCGUUCGAAAAUUAUAAUUGAGAUCCGAUUGUCACACAUAUUGCCCGUAACAAUGGAAUCAAAUGUUCAGACCGCAGGUAAAUUUCUUAGAUUUCGAAUCGAAUCAAAUCAUGUCACCAAUACGGUCGACCCAUUUUAUAUCACUAAAAAUCUUGAUUCCAAAAUAUGAGUGAUUCUCUUUAUAAAAAAAAGAAAGGAAAGA
This 3502-nucleotide long non-coding RNA is filed under the name Zea mays. RNAcentral's name for it is "long non-coding RNA (ZMAY_LNC005377)". Lineage: Eukaryota; Viridiplantae; Streptophyta; Magnoliopsida; Poales; Poaceae. The record is from RNAcentral.